ACUACCUGGCAUCCUGAGAAUGAAUCUUCCACAUAAACAAGCACGCAGCUCAUCUCGAUUCAGUUGCUGAAGGGAAAUUUCGUAGUCAAGACCGAGCUGAGCAAACUGAACGCUACGGUACAUCAUGAAUUUCAGAACUCUGUGGAUGAUCGUCCUCGUGGUGGUGAUAGGCCUAGUCUCUGCCGACGCCCGAAGCAUCUUCAACCUGGCCCGCAGGAAGUUCCCGGGGGAGAGGCGAUUCGGCGCCACGCAUUAUCGCCUGCACGAGUUCGGCAGCCACGGUUACAGGGACUUUUCGAGAAGGGACUGAGAAGGAUCUUAGAAGACUGACCCUAUCCAACGGGUGGAAUGACAUCUUCACCGAAGGAUGUCACAGGAUCUAUGGCAGACCCUUCGAUAACAUCCUUGGUGGAGAUUUAAAAUAUAGUCUCCGACGAGCCUAAUACUCUCCGUUUUCUUUUAAGAAUACUGAUCACUAUACGUUUUCUUUAAAUGGAGAUCAAUAGCAAAAAAAAAAAAAAAAAAUGUCCAGAAGUAAUCCUACUAAAUCAUACAUACAUACGCACAAAUACGCACACACACGCGUGCACGCGUGCAUACAGACACGGAGUUGACUUAUUACUGCCAAAGAAUUCAAGCAUCAGUACUACAAAAGUAUUAUUUAUACGCUUUAAUUUGUUUUUGUUUCUCUUAUACUCUUGCUGAAUUUCGCUUAAUCUCCCUUCCAUACGAGUGCUGGUUAUCAUGAGUUAUCUUAUUUUUUUUUUUUACUUAAUUUUAACUGUUAGCUUUAGCAAUCUUGUUUUAUUUAAAGGGAAUGUAUUUUCUAUGUGCAAUAAUAAUAUUGAUUCAAAUAAUUUGCCACAAUCGCCCUGACAUGUUGUUAUGUUAUAAAAUGGUAACUUUGUUGUAGUUUAAGUUUCUGUUUUGGUAAUAUUCAAGUGCUGAUAUCACGUUGUUUUAUUUGUUUUGUUUUGUUUAAUUAAAUAAUGAAAAUAAUAAAACUAUUAGAAGAAUA
Molecule: long non-coding RNA, 1018 nt
Organism: Macrobrachium nipponense
Lineage: Eukaryota; Metazoa; Arthropoda; Malacostraca; Decapoda; Palaemonidae
Exons: 4
Source: RefSeq, a predicted model, not a curated record